This 363-nucleotide unclassified non-coding RNA is filed under the name uncultured bacterium. Its description in RNAcentral is "contains 16S-23S intergenic spacer region". The record is from RNAcentral.
UCCCGGUUGGCCCGGGCAGUCUCGUAUGAAAAAACAACAUACGACAAGGGUUGCGCUCGUUGCGGGACUUAACCCAACAUCUCACGACACGAGCUGACGACGGCCAUGCAGCAUCUGUCACCAGGUUCCCGAAGGCACAUCCAUCUUUCGACGGACUUCCUGGGAUGUCAAACCUCGGUAAGGUUCUGCGCGUUGCUUCGGAUUAAACCACAUCCUCCACCGCUUGUGCGGGUCCCCGUCAAUUCCUUUGAGUUUUAAACUUGCGUUCGUACUCCCCAGGCGGAUCACUUAACGCGUUAGCUUCGUAACGCAAGGGGUCGAAACCCCACAUUACUAGUGAUCAUCGUUUACGGCGUGGACUAC